This 7130-nucleotide long non-coding RNA is filed under the name Lactuca sativa (garden lettuce). Its description in RNAcentral is "long non-coding RNA (LSAT_LNC004235)". The record is from RNAcentral. Lineage: Eukaryota; Viridiplantae; Streptophyta; Magnoliopsida; Asterales; Asteraceae.
AAGUGCAAAAAGAGGCUUGAGAGAAUAAGUUACAUAGCACAAAAUCGAUUCACACUCUCCAAGAAUUUAUGUGGCAACCGAUUUUGGCUCUAGGGAGCUCCUUUUAUAGUGUGGCAAGUGCUAGGGUUACUCCAUGCAAACCCUAAUGCACCAUGACUCUUCAUAUUACUUAGGCUCCAUGGGUUAAACCUCCAUGGACUAUCCAUGUUGGUUUAGCCCAUCUUAAUAACCGUGGAUCGUUGGCCCACACUAUAAGAAUCAUUGAUUUGCCAAAUCAGUCCCCGUAUAUUUAAUUAGUCUCUUUUAAUCACUAAAUUAAUUCCAAAUUAAUUCUUGAUCAAUACUAACUAAAUAAUAUGAUUUCAUAUUAAUAUAUUAUACUUGUAAUAUAUUAACAAAUCACAAAUAACCUUAUUCUCAAAAGUCCAUCCUAUCAAGCUGCAUUGGUGAAGACAACCCAAAAGGACCAUGCUACUCUCGUGUCAAGUACAUACCAAUUAUAGUUAUGGGCUUAGACACCUAAUCCAACAGUCUCCCACUUGGAUAAGUCUAAUACUUAUAACUGAAAGUACGACUUAAAACACCGACUAGCAAUCGUAGUUCUUAAAAUCCGUUGUCGAACUCUGACCCAGUAAGUGACACGUCCUUUAGAAAAGGGAUCAUAUAAUCCUCUGUUCUUCAAGAUAUCAGAUGGAUAAAUACAUGGAACAAUUUCAUACUUACUGUCCAGUAGUUUGUUUCUCGAUUUCUGAUUUGUUUGACAGAGAACUUAAUUGAACACAUCAAUUUAGUCUCGACCAGGCGCGACACAUAAGUCAAAACAAAAUCAUCUAGGGGCCCAAGAUAUCACUUUUGAUCCUCCAAGUAUUAAAUGGAACAGAUAAACUUCGACAUUAUAUGUGUGUACUAACUAUUCAUCAAAUCAUACACAACAGUGAAUUUUAUAACAUCAAGUACUGAUGCGUUUUCGCACUAUCAAUGUAUAUAACCAACUCAUACUCAACAACUCAUAUAUCUUGGUUUGAAGACUUAUAUGAUAUUAUCGUCUCACGAUCACUCGUGAUAAAUUCCAUGAAGUGAUUCAAAUGAGCAUGGGUUUAAUCCAAUACUCAGACCUUAUGAAUACUCAUGAAUGUUGUAGCAAUCUCUUGUUAUGUCUAAAACACUUUAGACAAUCUACAAGCCAAAUUCUUGACAGUCUUGCCUCAAUACCUACUUUCAAAGUAUGAUCAACUAUGGACAGUUUGAAUAAUAUAAAUAUUCUGGAAGUUAAAGCAUGCAAAAUGAAACAAUAGUAAACAAUUGACAGAAGAUAGUAACUUUACUCAUAAAUAAAACAUCUUUUAUUUAAUCAUCAAAUAUCAAUUACAUUUUAUCUAUUACAAGUUUCAAAAUAGCUAUCUAAUCAUUAAAACUAAUAUCAUCCUUCAACCCAAUGCUCCUCGUAUGCUGCAAAUGCUUAACCUUACUCGGUCCCUUCGUGAGGGGAUUUGUUUGGUUCUCAUCUGAUGAUACCCUCUUUACCAAGAGGAGUCCUUCUUCCACCCGAUGUCUUAUGAAGUGAUAUUUCCUGUCGAUGUGCCUGGAUCUGCCAUGAUCCCUUGUUUCUUUGGUUAAGGCAACCGCACCCUCAAUGUCAUAGAAAAUCUCCAUAGGCUCCUUUAUAGCUGGUACAACUCCAAGGUCUCCGAUGAAGUUCUUCAGCCAUAUCGCCUCCUUCUACACUUCGCUUGCUGCAAUGUACUCUGAUUCACACGUUGAAUCAGCUACAAUCUCCUGUUUGGAAAUUUUGCAAGUUAUUGCUCCUCCAUUCAGGGUAAAAACCCAGCCCGACUGAGAGCGAAAAUUAUCUUUGUCGGUCUAAAAGUUGGCGUCACUAUACCCUGUGACUCUUAAGUCAUCACUCUCACCAAGAGUAAGGACUCAGUCCUUAGUCCUGUGUAGGUACUUAAGAAUAUUCUUUACUGUAGUCCAAUGAGCUUUACCAGGAUUCCCUUGAUAUCUGCUGACCAUGCUCAAAUCAAAGGCCACAUCAGGGCGAGUAGAAGUCACAUCAUACAUGAUCGAGCCAACUGCGGAAGCAUAUGGUACUUGACUCAUCUCAACUAUCUUAGCCUCUGUACUCGGACUCUGAAUCUUACUCAGUUUGGUAUUUCCUUGGAUGGGUAAGUCACCUUUCUUGGAAUUCUCCAUGUUGAAUCGUUUCAACACCUCGUCCAAGUAGGUACUUUGACUAAGUCUAAUUAGUCUUUUACUCCUGUUUCUCAAUAUCCUUAUCCCUAGGAUGUGAGCAACUUCUCCAAGGUCCUUAAUAGUGAAACACUUCCCAAGCCAGGACUUAAGCUCUUGUAAGGUUGGAAUGUCAUUUCCUAUGAGUAGUAUGUCAUCCACAUACAACACCAGAAAGCUAACUGUAUUCCCACUAGCCUUGACAUAUACACAUGACUCAUCCUCGCUUCUCCAAAAUCCAAACUCUUUGACUUUCUGAUCGAAACAAAGAUUCCAUCUGCGAGAUGCUUGUUUCAAUCCAUAAAUUGAUUUCUCAAGCUUACACACUCUAUUAGGGUAAUUAUCAUUAACAAAACCCUCUGGCUGACUCAUGUAAACAUCCUCAGCUAAUUUCCCAUUAAGGAAAGCGGUUUUGACAUCCAUUUGCCAUAUUUCAUAGUCAUGAAAUGCAGAUAUGGCUAACAUAACCCUAAUAGAUUUAAUCUUCACUACUGGUGAGAAGAUCUCAUCAUCGUCAGCUCCAUGAGUUUGAGUAAAGCCCUUCGCAACCAGUCACGCCUUAUAUGUGUGUGCUUUCCCAAUCAUGUUGGUCUUCUUCUUGAAGAUCCAUUUGCACCCAACUGUCUUACGACCCGGCACAUUGUCAACCAAGUUCCAAACUUGAUUGUCAUACAUGGACUGGAUCUCGCUGUCCAUAGCCUCUUUCCACUUUGCAGACUCGGGGCUUGCCAUGGCUUCCUUGUAAUUGUUAGGUUCAUCAAAAAUCAGUAUGUUAUCAAUGAUAAAUGUAUCACCCUCAGAUGUUAUAUGGAAACCAUAUAAACAGGUGGAACACUAACUCUACUGGAGCGCCUUAGAGGUACGGACUCGUCAACUAGUUCAACAGGGGUUUCCUCCUAAGGUUGAUUGCUAGUGUUUGAGGUUCCUUUACCGCUUGGCUCUUGAAGCUCUUCAAGGUCAAUUUGCCGUCUAUUGUCCCCUUAGCCUAUGAGUUCUCUCUUGUGAAAGAUUCCUCUCCUCGCAAUGAAGACAACAUUGUCACUUGAUCUAUAAAAGAGAUAACCAAAGGAUUUAUGUGGGUAACCGAUGAAAAUACACCACUCACUAUAAGGUUCAAGCUUGUCGUGAGUCUCGCGUCUCACAAAAGCCUCACAACCCCAAAACUUGAUGUGUGCUAAAGAGGAAACCUUCCAUGUCCACAUAUCAUGAGGUUUUUUGGCUACCUUCUUAGUUGGGACUAGAUUAAGGAUAUGGGCGGCAGUCUCUAAGGCAUACCCCUAGAAUGAGAUAGGUAACGAAGCUCGAAUCAUCAUCAAACGAAGCAUGUCCAACAAGGUUUGAUUGAGCCUCUCGGCCACACCAUUAAGUUGUGGUGUUCGAGGUGGCGGUAGUUGUGAGACAAUCCCACAUUCCUUAAGAUAGUCUUAGAAAUCGAUACUAAGAUACUCACCGCCCUGAUCGGAUCGGAGCAUCUUUAUCUUCCUGCCUAGCUGAUUCUUCACUUCUUGUUUAAACUCUUUGAAUCUUUCAAAGGUUCCUGACUUUUGUUUGAUUAAGUUGAUAUCGCCAUAUUUGUUGUAAUCAUCAAUAAAAGUCACAUAGAAGCGGUUAGCAUACCUUGUGGUGGUUCUGAAAGGUCCACACACAUCGGUGUGUAUGAGAUCCAACAAACCUUCACCCUUUUCACAAGUACCGGUGAAGGGUGACUUGGACAUCUUUCCAAGCAAACAAGACUCGCAAGUUUCAUCCGACCUUAACUCGAAUGACACCAAGACUCCAACCUUUUGGAGUUGGCCUAUGCGCUUCUUGUUGAUAUGUCCAAGGCAACAAUUCCAUAAGCAUGCCUUAUCCAAACUAUUGGAAGAAUCAAUGUGCAACACAUUUUUUCCUAAGUUGUCUACAACCAUCACAGUUUCAUAUACACCAUUACAAGGCAAUGCUUUAAAAUAAAAAAACACCAUUAUAAAAAGCAUUAAUAGCACAAUCUCAUUAUCAAAUAAAAAACUAAAACCUUGUUUGUACAAACAAUGAAAGGAAAUAAUAUUUCUCCCCAUAUCAGACGAGUAGCAAUAAUUAUUCAAAUCUAAUUCUCAACCACUACUAAGCAAUAAAUAAUAAACUACAAUCUUGGUGACAGGUGAAACCUUCCUAUUCCCCAUGAUCAAGUUCAUCUUCCCGUGCUCCACAUCCUUACUUCUUUUUAGUCCCUGCAAAUCAGAAUAAAUGUGAAAUCUACAAUCUGUAUCAAGGAGCCAAGAACAAGAAUGUGAUUAGUUAUUAGAUAGAAUAGUAUAAAUAUCUGCAUGGGUGGCCUUAACCUUCCCAUCUUUGACAUCCUGCAAGUAUUUGGGGCAGCUUCACUUGCAAUGCCUCUUUUCAUGACAAUGGAAACACUCUUCUUCCUUAAGAAUGGUAGAUGGAGCAGCAAAACCAGCCAUGGUCCCACUGGAAGAGGAUCCAUCAAGAGACUUUCCCUUGUGGCUCUUGGAAUGAGCCUUUCUCUUCUUCCCUUUCCCAUGUCCAAUUGCCAAGACAGGGGCAAUAGCAGUAGGAGUAGAAACAAUAGAUUUACCUUUAAGACUACUUUCAGCAGUCCUCAAAAGGCCUUGAAGCUUGCUAAGAGUGACCUCCUCCUUGUUCAUAUGAUAGGUUAUUCAGAACUAAUCAUAACAUGGAGGUAAAGAGUGUAGAAUGAUAUUUAUCGCCAACUCUUCAUCAAAGUUCACAUUCAACUUCAACAAGCAGUCCACAAACCUUUGCAUUUUCUGCAAGUGAGCCGUGAUGGGUUUUCCAUCCUUCAUCUUUGUUGUUAUCAUGGAGGCGGUGAUUUGAUACCUCUCUUGACGAGCACUCUGAUGGUAUCUUUCCAUCAGGUCUUGGUGCAUCUCAAAAGGGUAGAAGUCCCCAUAGGAAUUUUGGAUUUCAGCUGUCAUAGUGGCCAACAUGAUACAAGACACCUUGGUGGCAUCUUUCUCAUGAGUCCUAAACUCAGCGAUCUCCUCAGGAGUAGCAGACGACUCAUCAAUUUGCUUAAGCUCUUUGUUGAGGACAUACUCCUUGUCCUCGUAACGAGUAACCAUUCUGAUGUUCCUGAUCCAAUCAUUGAAGUUGGAACCAUCAAAGAAAACUCUCCCACACAAUUUCAUUAGGGAGAAAGAGCCCGUAGGGUUUGAGCCAGAAGCAGUGUUGGAAGACAUCUGAAAAAAGAAAGACAAAGUUUAGAUUAGAUAAGAGUCCUUAAUAUGACACCCAAAUGAAAUAUUAGGGCUAGGACCCAACACAAUAUUUUACAAUUUGGAAGAGGGAUGCCGUAAUCCAAUUGCAAAAUAUUUGAAGGUAGGUAAAUGACGAUUUACCAAUUUCCACCAUGAAAAACGAAAUGGAUGUGCCGGUUAACCACACACGCUCCAUUAACGACCUGGAAAGGUGCAAAGUGCAAUUUCAUGGAUUAGCAUCAAUUUCACAUUUUUCCUAAAGUAACUAAGAUUGAGAAUUUAAUAAAACAUUUAGUUACUUUAAAAUUAUCAUUAUACUUUUAACAAGAAUUAUUGUCCUAUCCUACCCAUUCGGCUAACGACCCUCCACCAGUCAAGGAAGCGGUGGGGGAGAGUGGACACCCAUUAAACCACCAUUUUAUAGGCAGUAACCCUAUACCCCUUAUAGAUCGGCUUCGGGCNAUAGGCAGUAACCUUAUACCCCUUAUAGAUCGGCUUCGUGAAUGAGGCCUACUAGCAGUAAGACUGACUUGUCUUAUACAUAUAUAUAAUUAUUAAACUUUUAAUAUUAUAAUAGUAUAUGGGUUGAAUUUUAAACUUUUAAAAUUCUAAGGUUUGGAAUUAAAGUAUUCAUAAGUGUGACUUUACAAAUUCCAAAACUUGAGGGCAAGUUUUGAAACUCUUCAAAACUUUUCAUUUUCAUAAAUUAUGAGUUUAAUGACUUUUAAAGAAAAAACUUUUCAUUUUCCAUAACUUGAGGACAAGUCAUGGAGUUCAUUAAAGGAAUUUAGAUCAAUAUUUUAAUUAACAAAAUAAUCAAAUAAUUUAUCUAUGAUCUAGUUAAAAUCAUAAGUCAAGAUAAUUCAUAUCAACAAUUUGCAAGAAAUUAGCCUAAUCAUAAAAACUAAUACAAAUCUUGAAAUUUUGAAAAUUAUCUUUUAAUUGGAUGAGCAUGAUCACUACCAUAUCAAGAAAACAGAUUUCAUCAUUCAAAAAACAAUUUGUGGUAAUCAUCCUAAUCCAAUUUUGGCCAAAAACUCGAAAAUCAGCAACCAGAACCAUCAACUCGACGAGUGCAUGAACCUGACUCGUCGAGUUGGUCUUUUACUGAGUGGACUCGGCUAGUUCAUCAGUCAAAAGCCAGAAAAUCAUUUUUUUUUCAAUUUGGAAAAUUAAUAUGCAUCAAGUAUAACAGAAAACAAUCAUAGGCUAUGAUACCACUGAAGGGUUUUGAGCACUCUGACAACCUUAUGGUGCACAUGCAACCCUAGAUGCUUUGAAUCUAUGUUUUCUCUAAUUAUACAUGCAAAUUGAUUUUCCAAAGCAUACUUCCUGACUAGCAUACAAUUUGAAAAUUGAAGAACAUAACUAGUUAGAUAACUUACCUCUUAAUAGGACUUGUAGUUCUUGGCCUUCAAAAGCUUUAGCACCUCAAAUGUGAUGCCUCUAAUGGGUCACAAACACCAAGUGCAAAAGGAGGCUUGAGAGAAUAAGUUACUUAGCACAAAAUCGAUUCACACUCUCCAAGAAUGUAUGUGGCAACCAAUUUUGGCUCUAGGGAGUUCCUUUUAUAGUGUGGAAAGUGCUAGAGUUACAUCCAUGCAAACCCUAAUGCACCAUGACUCUUCAUAUUACUUAGGCUCCAUGGGUUAAACCUCCAUGGACUAUCCAUGUUGGUUUAGCCCA